RNAcentral lists this long non-coding RNA (684 nucleotides) under Arachis ipaensis. RNAcentral's name for it is "long non-coding RNA (AIPA_LNC000183)". Lineage: Eukaryota; Viridiplantae; Streptophyta; Magnoliopsida; Fabales; Fabaceae. The record is from RNAcentral.
GGGCUUGUAAGCAAGUCAUUUAUGAUUAUUUGUGAACAAUGCAUAAACUUCUUGAAUAGACAAUCAUUGGUGUGUACAUUUCAUUUUCUGAGAAGUAAUAACAAAAAGCAUCAAAAUACAAACGAAAUUCAUAUAUAUUAGAAAAGAUAUGAUGGGUACAUCAAAUUCUAGACGUUAGUAGUAAAAAAAACUAGUGACUGCUAUUAACAAUUUGCCUGAAUUGAUGAUGUUCCUAACCGCAUUGUUAGAUUUCCAUCUUCCAGAUCAUAUUAUCAACACUGCAAUUAUGAGAUUUCUCCAAUGCUUAACAGACAGAACCUGUCCUCAAAUGUACUGGGGGAAUGAAGCAAUCUACUGAGACCUGGGACAUUGAAUGCAACCUCUUCAAUUGUCCACGCCUCUUCCAUUUUUGUUUUGGUAUGGCUCAUUGCCAUCUCCCCAAACCUGAAAAGAGUAGUUACCACAGAAUGCCCAUUUUUGUUUCAUCUGCCAGAGCACAAAUCCACCGGACUCCGCGCACCUAGAGGCAUUCCGGAUUUUCACUACUCUAGUUGCAGUUUCAAACUCAGAAGCUACCAUCCUCACCUUUCCCAUUGCAUAUGCAUUUCUUAUUGGGUUCUGCAACUCCUGCCCUCCAGAGGCAGCAGUAUACUGCUGCAAUAUGUAAUAAGCAGAUGAGGUUUC